This 253-nucleotide ribosomal RNA is filed under the name uncultured bacterium. RNAcentral describes it as "partial 16S ribosomal RNA". It matches the Rfam family "Bacterial small subunit ribosomal RNA", at positions 524 to 776 of the family's 1533-position model. The record is from RNAcentral.
UACGUAGGGUGCGAGCGUUGUCCGGAAUUAUUGGGCGUAAAGAGCUCGUAGGCGGUUUGUCGCGUCUGCUGUGAAAACUCGGGGCUUAACCCCGGGCCUGCAGUGGGUACGGGCAGACUAGAGUGCGGUAGGGGAGACUGGAAUUCCUGGUGUAGCGGUGAAAUGCGCAGAUAUCAGGAGGAACACCGAUGGCGAAGGCAGGUCUCUGGGCAUUAACUGACGCUGAGGAGCGAAAGCAUGGGGAGCGAACAGG